UACGGAGGGUGCAAGCAUUAAUCGGAAUUAUUGGGCGUAAAGGGCGCGUAGGCGGAGAUAUAAGUCAGAUGUGAAAUUCCGGAACUCAAUUUCGGAGCUGCAUUUGAAACUAUAUUUCUCGAGGGUUGGCGGAGAGAACGGAAUUCCACGUGUAGCGGUGAAAUGCGUAGAUAUGUGGAAGAACACCGGUGGCGAAAGCGGUUCUCUAGCUUAUACCUGACGCUGAGGCGCGAGAGCAAGGGGAGCAAACAGG
Molecule: ribosomal RNA, 253 nt
Filed under: uncultured bacterium
Lineage: Bacteria
Description: partial 16S ribosomal RNA
Rfam family: Bacterial small subunit ribosomal RNA
Source: RNAcentral